CUGCAAUGUGAAAAGUGAUACUAAUUUCAUAAAACAAUCUUUAGGAACCCAAACAUUCAAAAAGGAAAAAAAGAAACCACUGGUAAGCACAGAAGAAAACCAUGCUUGGUCCAAGCCAAUCCGUAUGUACCACGAACAUAACAUAAACACUGCAAAUGGCAGUUUUUUUCCAUGUACAUCAGAUUCAUCAUAUUUCAGGUUAAAAAAUUAUGCUGUUUAUAACAGUAAAUAUAGCAGUUAGCUGACAUUUUCAAUGUCAGACAUAACCAUUAUAACAGUAUAUAUAUAGUAUGUCCAUAGUGCCAACAUCACACACUGCCUUGAGCAUCCUUGUGAGAGCAAAAAUAAGCUCUGAUACAGGUGAUGCCAUUGCUGCCUUACUUCUAAAACUUAGUUAAAGCUCUCAUACGGAUAAACUCUCUCCCUCUAUGGCUGUACAGGUGUUGGGACUGUUAGGAGAGGAAAGGAGGGGGGGGGGGGGGGGAGGUGAGAGAGAGAGAGGAGAGAGAAACCAUGUCUAAUUCUGUUCAAGUUCCUUAUGGAUCCCUGACAAGUUUCCAAACCAACGAAUAUGUUUAGUAAUUGGGGGAGAUAUGAAAAUUGAAGAAUAUAAUUACAGAAAUGCUCCCAAGAAAGAAAUGGCGACAAAUGCUGCAAUCAACAAGACCGAGUGUAACACAUAGCAGGGAGUUUCAACAUAAACAAAUGUUGAGAAGCUAACCCCCUCCCCAACAAAUAUAUUACACCCAAAAAGUUAAAAACAAGCAAGGGAGAGAGUAUUUCGUACCAUCAGUUCGUACCCUAGGUCUUGAAAGCCACAUUUUCCUCCAUGAACCUUCAUAUUUUGACUGCAGAAUCUUAUAAUUCUCCACUACUCCAGAGAGCUUCAUAAAAGAUGCAGCAGUUUUAAAGCUUCAGUAAUUUACACACAACAGCCUAAUAAAAGGUUCAUUAGCAAUGCCAAAUUUACCUGCCAAGCCUUUAAGCAUGCACUCCGCCAAAAUACAGGGUUACGAAUUGAGUACCUCCACUUUCGACAAACACAUGAUGCCCUUCCUAAAUCAUAUGGAGUCAUCCGUACAAAGACCUGUACAUUCAUUUCCAUGAUUACUCUCUAAAUUACAGCACUAAAUACAAAACAUAUUGUUUUUUUUUCUUCUUUUAUAUUAGAAAUUAUAUUGCUCUUCAUUUAAAGAAGCCGCAUUCUAGCUAUUCAUAGGCUGAAAAACUGAUAUUUUGGCAUUACAAUUAGAAUAUUCAGCACUUAAGCUAAAGUGUUUCCCAAGUUUAAGCAAUCAGAAAAUAAACUUCAAACAAAAGUCUGUUUAUCAAUCAAAUCAAAAUCAACUGUUUCAAAUCAUAUUUUCCGCAUUCCUUUUUUCCAAAUGGACAAUAAACAAUCACGAGAAGCUACCAAACUAAGGUUAUUAAUAUACUAUCUUUGCUCAAAAAAAAAAAAAUCCGGCAAUGCUUUACAAUACCUCAAAAAGCAGCUCAUCGGGCAAGCAACGAUGGAGAAGUGCAGGAUCAACAUAUGCUCUUCUGCUGACGCUUCCAUAAGGGGCAACUGGUCUAACAUUUUUUCCAUAAAGAUCUGAAAUUUAAAAAUAAGAAAAAAUUAAGAAGACGAAGUGCUUUAAACUGAAAAUUAAGCUAAAAUUGUUUAUUUUUUCUAAAAAAAGUUGAAUUAAAGGCAAACAUGAAAAAAGUAUAAUUAAAAAAAACGAAAUGAAAAGAAAGAACAAAAAAUACAUAAAUACCAAGCCAAGGCCUUUGCGUUACAAAGUACUGUACGGUCUUCAACCGCAAAGCUGAUUCUAGUUCCGCAGGAACUGUUAAGGCAAAGUCUGCAAAUUAAGGCCAUUAAUCAAUUAAUAAUGAUAAAAUGAAACAAAAAAAAAGGAUAACAAAGACAAAACGCGGUGAAAUUAAUCCAUAAAAACAAAAUAAAAUUGAAGCUUAAAACUUUCACCUAAGGAAGUUUUUCUUCUGAAUUCUUGGAACUAAACGAAUUCGAAAUUGAUAGUUAAUGAAUUCGAAGAAAAUUUUAUUGGAACAGUAUUCAUAGAAUCGCCGGAAGCAAAGAAAAAGUGAUAUUGGAAUUUAAAACUAAAGAAUUUAAUUAAAUAUAUACCUGAAUUCAUGGGAAUCGAAUAAACUUGGAUUUAAAUUCUUAAUCUCUUUCGUUUUUUCCCCUUUCUUUCUACGAUUUUCAAGACAAAAUAGAAGGAAAUCUUCUUUUUUUCUUUUUUUUUUAUAAUUAAAGAAAGACAAAUUUGUGAUCGAAAAAUGCUGACUGAUGAACUGAAUGACCCAAUCAGAAUUAACGACAACACUUUAAAGACGGUGCGUUUUAACUGACGCGGGCAUAACUGGUAAAUAAAUUGUUAGUUAUCCAUGGUCCGGACUGGAUGGGCCUCCCCAAUCUCAUCGAACCCAUUCCUUAUUCUGAUCGAGCUUAGACAGCCCUUUUGCAAAAAUUGUAAAAAGUGGGCCUAGAUUACAGGUAAAGCUAGUUUUUGCGUAAACAAAAUUAAAUUUUAUGUGUGUAUAUUGUAUAUAUAAGAGAAAAUAAAAUGAGAAGUAAUUGGGAUUUGAUUAUCUUAAAAAAUUAACAUUAAAUUAAGAACAUCUUCUCAUUAAUCCUUGCUUUUUUAAACUUUCCUUCUUUUUUCUCCCUUCCUUUUUUUAUCUAUAUUAUAUUUUGUUUUCUAAGUGUAUAAUUUUUUAAUUUGGAAAAUGAAAGAUUUUAAUCUAAAAUUUAAAAUAAAUUAAAAAAUAAAUACAUUUAUUAUUAAAUAAAAUAUUUAAAUAUAUUUAUAAUUUUAUUUUUACAAGUAUAACAGAUUCAAUAAUGGCUUUAUAAAAGAUAAAAGCGUAGUCAAUAUAGUUGCAUAUGUAUGUUUUUUUCUUAGAGGAAGAGAUUAUAUUUACAUAUCAUUAUGUCAUGAUCCUUAUAUAUUUUUGUUCGGGUUCAUAUUUAUACAUUAUCAAUAUAAAAUACCUAUACAUUAUCAAUGAACUAAGGGCACAUUAAUUUGGCUAUUCCUAAGUUCCCUUUGAUUCAUUUUGAAUUAAGAAAUAAUUAUUCUUAAGAAUAAUCAUUAUCUAAAAAUACGAAAUAAUUAAUACCAACCUUUCCAUGACAUUAGCCAUUCCAAUUCAUGGAAUAAAGUUCAAAUCCUUAUGGAUAAAAAUGACCUUACUUGUUAUGUGAAAUUACUAAUUUUACCAUAUAAAAUAUCAUAUUAAUAUUUUAAUAAAAAAUAUUAAACUAAUAAUAUUUUAAUAAAAAGGAAAAAUGAAAAUAGAGAAAAAUAAAAAGAAAUUAACAUAGAACAUUAUACUAAUAUUUUAACAAUAAAUUAUUACAUUAUUGAUAUUUUAUUAGAAAAAGGAAUUAAAAGAGAAAAAUUGGAAAAAUGAAAAUAGAGAAAAAAAUUAAAAAAAUAUUAAUAUUAAACUUUAAUAUUUUAAUGAUUAUAUAUUAAAUUAUUAUUUAACAAUAACAAUGCCAGGAAUAAUAAGUUUCAAAAACCUCAAAAUUUUUAUUAAAUUAUAUCAAGAAAUAGAUGAAAGAAAAAGGAAUGAUUAUUCCUGUGUAAAUGAGGUUAAGGAUGCAGCAUUUUUUUUGAAGACUGAAGUACAACACAAAGGCAAUGAGAGCACACGUGAUAAGCAUGUGAGGCAAUUAAACUAACAGUCGCUGUAUAUAUUAUCUUUUUCCUUUUGAAAAAUAGAUAUUAUAGAUGAAAACAAAACAAUUUACAUCAUUUUAGAUUAAGCUAUGGCGUGAUAGUUUGUAAAUAAAUAUGAAUCAAUGCUAUUGGGAGAAAAAUAAAAAAUGUGUAAAUCUAAAAUUAGAUGAUCAUAUUGUAUAGUCAUUCCAUCUAACACAUAAUACAUUGAUUAACUUCAGGAUAAAUAGACGUAAAAAAUAAAUAUUUAAGCUUAAUAAAGUGCUCUGAAUUGGAAUUUUUAUAAAGUCAAAUAAAGAAUCAACUCGACCUAGAAUCUCCAAGCCACUCUGUAUUCUGUUCUCUACUCUCUCCGUCUUGCCUCUACCUUCACCUUCGACCUAGAAUCUCAAAGCCGCAGUAUAUUCUGUUCUCUGCUCUUCUCUCCUUUCUUUAUCUCCACCUUCACCUUCGACCUAGAAUCUACAAGCCACUAUGUAUUCUGUUCUCUACUCUCUCUGUCUUUACCUCUACCUUCACCUUCGACCUAAAAUCUCAAAGCCGCAAUAUAUUCUGUUCUCUGCUCUUCUCUCCUUUCUUUACCUCCACCUUCACCUUCGACCUAGAAUCUCAAAGCCGCAAUAUAUUCUGUUCUCUGCUCUCUCCUUUCUUUACCUUUACCUUACCUUUAUUAUUCACUCACAUUAUUAAACAAAUUAUAGAAAUGAGAAAAUUCUUAGUAAAGUGAGAAAAGUCAAAGAACAGCAAUCCGAAGUAGAAAGGAAAUUUGCGCAGACAAAAAGCAUCGCCAUCUGUAGAUAAUAUACUCUUAGCAAAGAAAGGGAAACCGUAGAUUGAAACAUGAAUCAAUGUAUUCAAGGGCUGAGGAGAUACCUGAAUAAGCCCUUGAAUACAUUGGAAAAGUGUUUAUUAGAUGUACUGAGCAAACAAUGUGGCCACUUGGCAGUGCAUAUAUAUACACCCAAUCAUCAUAGAAAUUGAUCAAGUGAGGCUCUAGCGCAACUUCACUGAAACAGAGAUGGAGAACAAUCAAUCAAGCAUUGAUCUUGGGUCUGAAAGGUAGAUUAGAAUCUUAGAAGUUUAUAAUCCAUGGAUUUUUCUCUUGAUUAUUAUCAAUUAAUUUCAUAUUCUUGUUUGCAGUAAACAAGGAGUCGGUCACUCUACUAUAAUCCAAGCUGCCAUCGGCUCUCUCGUAGUUAUACUGCUCACCACCAUUCAAGUUUUGUAUCAAAACGACGAUAAGUCUCCCUUCAAAACGCACGCUCUGAUAAUGAAGAUUUUCAUCGUCUUUGCCUUCACCUACACUUCACUGACGGUGGCUGUAAUAGCCCUACAAUCCCAUUGCACGAGCUACCUUCCUCUACUGAACCAUAUCGGUUUCGUUUUGGGAGCUCUCGUCUGCGACUUCCUUCUCUUGAUACUCCUCCCUCCAUUUGGCUACUUUGUCUUGCUUUUAUGCAUCCUCAUGCUUCUAAUAAUAUUACUCAAAUCGUAUCAGCAGAUAUUUAAGUUGUUACGCAGUGUAGCUACGCUAGAGUCAAACAGAGCGGGGGACUUGCUUCAUAACAUUUAUGGGUGUACAUGCGCAAUGUGUCUAAGGAUUCAACUUUCCCUCCCACGCAGUACCAUUGGGUCCCGGGAUCAGGGCCACCUUGAUUAUGACCUUGAACUGAAUGAAGCAACAAACUAAUAGCUUCUGGUGGAAUGCAAAUCCGUCUGCCCUUUUUAUAAGAUUAUGCCAUGCCCAUAGGACUUAAUGGCAGUCUUUGUUUGUCAAGUCUCUUCUUUUUCCCGUCCUGAUGUUUUCCCUCGUUUACUCUCCAGCCUUUAUUCUUUGCUUAUUCUUCUGUGGUGGCGGAGUUUUAGACGACGGGAGUUUUGACUUUCGCCUGAGUUUUUAACCGACGAGUAGUUCAUGGAGAAGAGUAAAGCUAAGAACAAUCCCAAGUAUCCCAAAAAUGGCUCUGUAUUAAAGCUUGACGGUUCCAAGUCAUUGUUUCCGUACGAGUUUCCUUACAGGUUUUGGGUCUUUUGGAUUCUCCUCGGAUCUAAGUUCUCAGUCCGCUAUGAGUUCUACCGAAACAGAGAAUGACAAAGAAGAUCAUCUUUAAUAUCUUCCGCCUGAGUUUUUAACCAACGACCACUAGUUCAUGGAGAAGAGUAAAGCUGAGAACAAUCCCAUGAAUCCCAAAGAUGGUUUUAGAUUAGAGCUUCGCGUUUCCACGUCUUUGUUUCCGUACAAGUUUUUAAGGGAUACAAAUUACUAAUAAAUUUUUGUGGGUAGGCAAUUUGCACUCCUUGUGGUGACUCCAAAUAAAAAAGAAGAAAACUAUGCAAGUUUUCAUUUCACUAAUUGGGUUAUCACAGUCCUUCAAAAGCUACCACUGCACUUUUCUCCUUCUCUGUCUCUCCUUUUCUCAUGUUAAUGUCCUUUCUAUUUACUUCUAAAAUUUCCUUUGAAAGCUAUUGGACUUUUGAGGUGAAAGUGGAAACUAAGUAGGCAAAUCACUGGAGCUGUCAUUUGAUUUUUGUUUCUAUACAAAUGAAUAAGUAGCUUCAAUCUAAUAAACCAAAAGGGUUUAAUGCACUCCUGAACAUUUUCAAAAUUGACAGAGGAGGUAAAUGGUAAUUUUCAUUAAGCCCAAGACAGUCAUGGCUGGCACAGAUCAAUUGAUAUCAUGCACAAGGAAGAAAGCUUGUCAACCAUUAUACAAAAAACCAACAGAAUGAGUCUUCUUGUUCUUGGAGCAAUAGAAGAAACUAUUCCAUUCAAAAAGAACCAGUUACAUAUUAGAGACUAACAUGAUCAUGAGAUGCAAAUACAUAUAGCAAUAGAACAACACAUAUUGAAGUACCAGAAUUGAAGUUUUGAACAGAACAUCAAAGAUUUUCUCUUUUGUGGAACUCCAUGACCCAGCUGUUAUAAACACAGCAGAUGACUUCACAGCCAGAGAAGCCGGUUCUUAAAGCCAAGGCUUCAUAUUCUUUUCGGGUUCUCUCUUUGCCCCCAGGGCUUUGAGCUAACAUCAAUAGAUCUUGCUCACAAACAAUGUUGGAAGAAACACUGCUAUCAGGAGCCUCAGGGAGGAUUGAUUCCACAAUGAUUACUUUGCCACCAUUAGGGAGAGCUUCCCAGCAGUUCUUGAGAAGCUUCAAGCAAUGCUCAUAACUCCAAUCAUGGAGUAUCCACUGCAGGUUUUAUCAACAAACAACAUAGCAAAACUUACCAACAAAUCUUUUGAAGAAAUAUGGUGGUAGAUAUUCACUUGGAGUUGUAGAUUUCCUCAAGUUAUAUUGAUGGGGAGUUCAGAAAAUAAAACUAAGAAAAGGAAACAAAUUUGCUUUGGAUGUAGUUAAGCUCAUUUCUAUAGACUUAUAGCUAGUUAGUCCGCUUUUCAACCUUCUAAAUUCAUCAAUUACGACCGAAAAUACAACUGAACUAGCUAAAUAUACAGAAAAAGGUGCUCCAUUUAGUUUUCUAUAUGAAAUAAAGCUUUACCUUCAUGAAAAUGGCAUCACCUUUUGGAACACUUUCAAACAUAUCUCCUCCAACAUGCUCCACACCUUUUGCAGAAAGUAGUAAGACAUGAACUCGAUUACUGCCAACCUUUAGACUAUACAUAAUUAAAUGAACUUGAAUUAAAAAGAAACAGACAUUGUUCUGCAGUUUCAAGUACUUUGUGUUAGGGUAUGUGCAGAGAGACAAAACAAAAAAAAUGUGCCAACUAAGAAAACGCUUUAAAUUAGUCAGUGAAGAGAUAUGAACAGGGCAACCAAAUUGGAUUACCAAUUAUCCCAUCAUUUUAUAGAAAUUUCACAGUGGUCAAGUCAAGUAGGUAAAAAGGGAGCCACAUAGUACCUGAAUAAGUUGGUGCAUCAGCCAAAACAUGAGGCAGAUCAAAAUUGAUAGCCUUGAUAUGAGGAUACUUAGAAGUAAUGAUACCGAGAGCAACUCCAAUUCCACCACCAACAUCAACCAACACUUCCACCUCAUCAAACCCUUUGUAAACAUCAAGAAUCUUCCUCAUGAUCAAAGUAGUGUGAUUGGACAUAGCCUGGUUACAUACCCUGUUGAACCUUAGAUCUGUUCCUGGAUACUCAAAUGCUGUCAUCCCAUAUGCCCUGUUAAAAGGAUUCCCUCCUUCUAGUAUAACAUCAUUUAAAUGGUACCUGAAAUCAAACAAAAUAAGUUAUCAAAACCCAUAAAUGUUAAGUGAUGUUAUCUCACAUCUACUUUGAGUCUAUCAUAGCUUUUAUAAUCCCAGUUGAUAGAGUUAAUUUGAAUUAACUUUUGCUUCAGUUUGUUAGAAUUACCCUUGCACAGGGAAGUGUUAACUGUUAAGUGGUGUUAUCAGUAUAUUUAGAAUUUUGCUUUGACCUUACAUAACAAUAAAUAAACUUGAAUUUUUGAAGAUAACGAAAUUUUUGUUAAGACAAAAAUUGGCAAAGAUUAUGAAAAAUACCAGCUUUCCAUGAAGACGUUGUCAUGGUGCAACAAAAACAGAGGAGCAACAGACCCUUCAUCCUGAUUCUUAACUAUGAACUUGCAUAAGGGCCCUGCACCGUAGAGUCUCUCAACUUCUCCGCUUUCCUUUGUUCUUACCGAGCACUUAAGAAUGGAAUAGCUAGCCAACAGGCGUAGCAUUCGAUCUAGUAGCAGAGAUGCUUCAGGAUUCUUGGUGGGAAGGCCACUCGCGAUCUGGGAAGGUGACAGAUACGUGCCGUCACCAGCGGCGGAGAUUGUGUCGAUGAUGUUCAGCUCCAGGGCUGAUUUUAAUACCAUGGGAAGAACAACGGCGUUGGCUAGCCGGACGGCUAGCUUGCCAAGUUCUUGGUCUUGAUCUUCCUGGGACAUGGAUUGCUGUGGGUCGCUGUUCCUGAAUUGAUUACUUUGCGACAAAGUGUUGAUUCUCCCAACAUCCAGUCAAGAUUGAAUUUGAACCACUAACAUUAAAUAGCAGAGUGACGGGUUGUAUUAAUUGUUUUUUUUUUUUUGUAUAUUCAUUUUUAAAGUGCUUUAUAAUAAAUUAUAACAUGCUUAAAAAGUGUUAUUUUCAGCUGAAUUAAGCUUGAACUUAAACAAGCAUGCUCAAAUGUCAAAUCUACGUAGCCUUCUACGCAAAAUUUUUUGCUAUCCAAGUUCAAAUUGCAAAUUUUUUCUUUCGUAUAUAAGUUUAAGAUCAAAUUGAGUUUCAUUAAGGAUUAAACAAGCAAAGUCGAAAUAAUUAAAAGCCAUUUCGACAUCCCUUUAGUUUUGUUAAUAGUUAUUUCUUCAGUUUUAAAUUAAGUGUUAAUUUUUUUUGUUCUUUCAAAAUUAUGUCUGCUUUUUAACAUUUAUUUUUAUGUUAAUGUAUUACAUAAUAUUUUCAAAAGUUUAUGAAUUAUUUUAAAAAUUUAAAAUAAUUUUUUUAAUUACUUUAAAUAAAAAUUUUCUAUUUUUAUUUUAAGUCAAAAAAAUACAUAUGAUUAACAAUUGAUUUACUACCAUUAAUUUUAUUUUUUUGCUCUUUAAGUAAAGAGAUUAUGCACCAACCAAUAAAUCAAAUAUUUGAUUAUUUUACUAUUAUUAGUUAAAGCAUUACUUGUCAUUUUAUAUCAUAUGAUACAUUAAUAUAUCACGUCAUUAUAUAAUAUGGCAUGUCGAUAUGUCAUGUCAUGUCAUUAUCACGUAAUGUUUUGAAUAUAAUUAAUUAUAAAAAUUUAUAUAAUACAAAAUAAAAGGCAAAUGAGUUUAUUAAAUAUAAUAAAAUAAAUAAAUUUAUUUUUUUAUAAUAAUUCAAAAAAGCUUUUUAAUAUUAUAAAAAAUUUUAAAUUAAAUAUAAAACAUUUGAAAACGUUUGUUUUCUUUUAUUGUAAUAUUUGAAUAUUUAUUUUCUUCAUUACAAAAAUCCUUGUAAACUUAUUCAUUGAUUUUUACGGUAUACUCCUAUCAUUUUAAAACUACUAACAUACUUAAUAUCAAAUUUUAGAACUAACAGCAAUAGCUACUCUCAUGGGUUCAUUUUAAGUAGUAUAAAAAUAGCAUGAAUUUGGUAAAAAUAUUAUAAUAAUAAAAAAUGAAAAGAUAAAAAACAUAAAAUAUCCUUACUUUUAAUUUUAAUCAUAAUUCUUUGCGAAUCUUUUAAUUUUUAAAAUAAAUAAUUUGCUUCAAAAGAAUAUUUUUUGCUGGACACAUAUAUUUUUAUUAAUUUGAUAAUAUAAUAAUAUUAAAAAGAUAAUUUUACUUUUUAUCAAUUUUAAAAAUUAUUAUAUUAUAUAAAUUAUAUUUUUUUUUUUGGAAAAAAAAAUCUAAACUUGACCAGAGCUAGAUCUCCCCCUCCCCCGGAGGGAGCACCAAAUCGGUGGAACCCCAUCGUGGGUGCUCUUGGGGGACCACCAUCCAUAUGUUCCCAAGGAACACAGAUCUUGGAAGCACUAGGUCUGGUGCUCCUUGAAAAAUUUGACUGGAUUCGAUCACUGCUCGAUAAAAAAAUAAAAAAUAAAAAUAUUUUAAAUAUUAAUUUAAAUUUUAAUAUCAUUUAGUUAUUUGAUAUGUAGUAUUUAUUUUAUAAAUUAAUAAAUUUAUGUGUAAUUAUAAUUAAAAGUUAAGAGUGAUAAGAGUAUUUUAUAAAAAAAAAAAACAGCCGAAGAACUAUUGGACCAAAUGAUAGGGUCUUGGGUUGGCCCAAAUCUUAGAAUUAAUUUACUUAACCUUUCCCAAAUAGACUAAUAAUUGCCCAAAGCAGGAAAACGAGCAAAGCGAGAAAACCGAAGCAAAACACUAGUUAGUGCAAGUAGCAAACAGCAGCUCACUGUUAAAACGCCACUUCAAGAUCUACUCGCAAAGGAAUUGAAGAUUUCCAAAUCUCCCCAGGUAAAUGUUGUCUUUUUUUACUCAAAUUUCUAUUUCCUAUUUUAUUUCUUUGCUCAACUGAUCUGAAAAUUGCUUUUAUUUCCUUUUCAAUUACGCAUUGCGUGGGCCUAUUUGUCUUUUGCUUUUACUUCAAAUCUUGUUCAAAAUUUGCAGUUUUCCAUCUGGCUUUUGUUCUUUCUUAUAUGUUUAUAAGGAGGGGUGGGAGUGAAAGAGAGGGAGAGAGAGAAACCAUGUCUAAUUCCGUUCAAGUUCCUUAUAGAUCCCUGGCAUAGUUUCCAAACCAACGAAUCUGUUUAGUAAUUGGGGGAGUUAUGAAAAUUGAAGAAGAAUAGAAUUACAGAAAUGCUCCCAAGAAAGAAAUGGCAACAAAUGCUGCAAUCAACAAGACCAAGCAUAACACUUAGCAGGGAGUUUCAACAUAAACAAAUGUUGAGAAGAUAACCCCCUCCCCAACAAAUAUAUUACACCCAAAAAGUUAAAAACAAGCAAGGGAGAGAGUAUUUCGUGCCAUCAGUUCGUACCCUAGGUCUUGAAAGCCACAUUUUCCUCCAUGAACCUUCAUCUUUUGACUGCAAAAUCUUAUAAUUCUCCACUACUCCAGAGAGCUUCAUAAAAGAUGCAGCAGUUUUAAAGCUUCAGUAAUUUACACACAACAGCCUAAUAAAAGGUUCAUUAGCAAUGCCAAAUUUACCUACCAAGCCUUUAAGCAUGCACUCCGCCAAAAUACAGGGUUACGAAUUGAGUACCUCCACUUUUGACAAACACAUGAUGCCCUU
This 11327-nucleotide long non-coding RNA is filed under the name Theobroma cacao (cacao). RNAcentral's name for it is "long non-coding RNA (TCAC_LNC004766)". The record is from RNAcentral. Lineage: Eukaryota; Viridiplantae; Streptophyta; Magnoliopsida; Malvales; Malvaceae.